Molecule: small nucleolar RNA, 136 nt
Organism: Danio rerio (zebrafish)
Lineage: Eukaryota; Metazoa; Chordata; Actinopteri; Cypriniformes; Danionidae
Source: Ensembl
UGCAGUCUUGUCAAAUUCAGUGUUUCCUCUUCAAUGGACAGCACUGGCCAAAAUGGCUGCAACAGUGAACAAGUAGACUUCAGGACCUACCUUCACAUAGAAUGAAUACCAGGGACAUACAAGUCUGCUUACAUGC